AACGAACGCUGGCGGCAGGCCUAACACAUGCAAGUCGAACGAAAUCUUCGGAGCUAGUGGCGGACGGGUGCGUAACGCGUGGGAACGUGCCUUUAGGUUCGGAAUAACUCAGGGAAACUUGUGCUAAUACCGAAUGUGCCCUUCGGGGGAAAGAUUUAUCGCCUUUGGAGCGGCCCGCGUCUGAUUAGCUAGUUGGUAAGGUAAAGGCCCACCAAGGCGACGAUCAGUAGCUGGUCUGAGAGGAUGACCAGCCACACUGGGACUGAGACACGGCCCAGACUCCUACGGGAGGCAGCAGUGGGGAAUCUUGCGCAAUGGGCGAAAGCCUGACGCAGCCAUGCCGCGUGAAUGAUGAAGGUCUUAGGAUUGUAAAGUUCUUUCACCGGGGACGAUAAUGACGGUACCCGGAGAAUAAGCCCCGGCUAACUUCGUG
RNAcentral lists this ribosomal RNA (433 nucleotides) under uncultured bacterium. RNAcentral describes it as "partial 16S ribosomal RNA". It matches the Rfam family "Bacterial small subunit ribosomal RNA", at positions 29 to 507 of the family's 1533-position model. The record is from RNAcentral.